This 445-nucleotide ribosomal RNA is filed under the name uncultured bacterium. RNAcentral's name for it is "partial 16S ribosomal RNA". It matches the Rfam family "Bacterial small subunit ribosomal RNA", at positions 354 to 796 of the family's 1533-position model. The record is from RNAcentral.
GUGGGGAAUAUUGCGCAAUGGAGGCAACUCUGACGCAGCCAUGCCGCGUGCAGGAAGAAGGCGCUACGCGUUGUAAACUGCUUUUAACCGGGAAGAAACCCCAGGACGUGUCCUGGGUUGACGGUACCGGAGGAAUAAGCACCGGCUAACUUCGUGCCAGCAGCCGCGGUAAUACGAAGGGUGCAAGCGUUAUCCGGAUUCAUUGGGUUUAAAGGGUGCGUAGGCGGAGCGUUAAGUCAGUGGUGAAAUCCUGCAGCUUAACUGUAGACUUGCCAUUGAUACUGGCGCUCUUGAGUGCGCUUGAAGUGGGCGGAAUGUGCCGUGUAGCGGUGAAAUGCUUAGAUAUGGCACAGAACACCAAUUGCGAAGGCAGCUCACUAAGGCGAUACUGACGCUGAGGCACGAAAGCGUGGGGAUCGAACAGGAUUAGAAACCCCGGUAGUCC